This 118-nucleotide ribosomal RNA is filed under the name Enterococcus faecium. RNAcentral describes it as "partial 23S ribosomal RNA". It matches the Rfam family "Bacterial large subunit ribosomal RNA", at positions 2810 to 2925 of the family's 2925-position model. The record is from RNAcentral. Lineage: Bacteria; Bacillati; Bacillota; Bacilli; Lactobacillales; Enterococcaceae.
UUUCCCAUUUCUUUAAGAAAGUAAGAUCCCUGAGAGAUGAUCAGGUAGAUAGGUCAGGAGUGGAAGUACAGUGAUGUAUGGAGCGGACUGAUACUAAUCGAUCGAGGACUUAACCAAU